Myotis brandtii (Brandt's bat) is the source of this 140-nucleotide non-coding RNA. Lineage: Eukaryota; Metazoa; Chordata; Mammalia; Chiroptera; Vespertilionidae. The record is from Rfam.
AUGAUGAAUCCGGGAAAACAAUGGCUAGUUUGGGAAGGAAGAAAACUCUUAAGGAAACGUCCAGAGCCUGCAUAUAUUCCUGCCGGAGAUUCCUAGCGCCCAGUUUGGGGGUUGGGGUGGGGAAUGAGCAGGGUUGGGGU